UUUGAUUAUCACCUCUCUAACUGCCUCAGCCAGAAUCCUGCUGUCUGACACCUGGGAAGCCAACACCCUCGUCCCUGCUCUGGCAUCCGCAGACUACACUUCCGGGCGUCAGGACUUCCUGCUGUGUGCGGGCAGAUAAGCAGUGUGACUGCCCCGCAGAGCUCCGGCCUCUGAGGCCUGGCCUGGCUGCCCCUGGACUCUGUGUUCUUCUGGGCCCGUGUCUCCCCUCCAGGCAUUUCAGCUUUCCUCGGCCCAGGAGCCCAGGGCCUGGUGUUCCGGGGGUGGGGCCAGGGGCACAGGAUGUCCCAUCAUGCCCCGGUCAGCUCACCCACUUUCCCGUGUCCCGCUGGAUGUCCGUCUGCAACGAUCUGCUUUAACACACACACUACAUUGUUCACAAUUUCAAACGUCGCCCCAGCAGCAGCCGUCCCAUUCGCCGUCCGCAUCUGCAGCAGCUGGCGCCCAGGUGGUUCCAUGCACAGAGCACCCCACGGCCUCUCUGCUGUUCUGGAAGUCGCGCCCGGACACCCCCGGCUCUGUCACUAACCAGCAAGCCUUGUGGAAUGAGUCACGGGACUCCGAAAACAGUGGGGGGGAGUUAACACCAGCCCCUUGCUCUGUCCUGCACAGACAAGAAAGAUCUCUCUUCACAUCACUUUAAAAGGGAGAUGAAGAUGUUCCGCUCAAGUCUGUACACUGGCCGGCCAGCGUUGCCACUGCACAUGCGCACAGAUGCGAACACGAAAGCAAUCGGGUUCUGCGUUUAACAAGUACGACAAAAGGACGGCGCAUCGUUCUACUGCGCUGGGUGUCUCGUUUGUCUCUGCGAUGAGAGGAACUGGUACAUGGCGAAAAUCGGCUCAGCUGUUGGUGCACAGAAGUCACGUAGUCCCCACUGUGCUGAAAUUCUUUCUCCGGCUUUGGGGAAAUAAUUAGAUGUUAAUUUAAACAGACACAGAGGAUGUUUCUGAGACGAAGAUAAUGCCUGAUUCUCGUUUGUGUCUUGCCUGGGGCAGACCCGCCCAGAACUCCAGCUUUUGUUCGGACUCUGCAGCUCCGGGGCAGAUGUCCCCAUCCCUCUUCCGCCACCCAGGAGGUGGCCACCGAGCCUGGGAUGCGAAGCUGGCAGUACCGGGGCCUGGAGAGCGAGCCCGUCUCAGGCUGCGCUACCGUCUCUGGCCAGCAGGUGGAGAUAAAGCAUGAAACAUACAAUGAACCCCCAGUCUCUGUCUGAUGAUCUAACAGCAUUUCCCAAAGCAGAUGAAAAUGUGUGGAGAGAGCAAAGGGAAAGGUUGAUUUUAAGGAAGAAACUUCAGAAAGCAUUUUGGAAACGGUAACACUUCUUCCGACAAAUGAUUGAAUGGAAUGGAGCGUAGCUGGAAUUCACACAGCAAAGAUGGUUGGUCAAAAAGUGCUCUCUUUUGUAUAGGAACAAAUGUGGGGGAGGUAUUUGAAAGGUUUCAGAAAAUAAAUCUUUUUGCUAACUCUGUGUGCCUCUUCACAAAGAAAAGACCAAAGGAAGGAAAUACAGGCCAUUUCUCUGAGCUGUUUAUAGAAGUCAGAGUCUGUUGUGACAAGCGCAAUUUGAGAAAUGUCUACUGAAAAGCCUUGGGGGAAGGAAGGGGUUGAGGAAGAGAUUACAGAAGGGGUAGUGGAAGUAUUUGUUAUCUUGAUGGUGAUAAUGAUUUCACAAGUACACUGCAUGUGUCAAAACCCAUCAAACUGUAAACUGGGAUCCUUGCAGUUGUUUCGGAUACCAGUUGCAUCUCAAUGAAGCUAUCAAAUAAGUUUUCUAGACUCUUGCUAUUAAAAAUGUGGUCUAUAAAUGUCUGCCGCAGCCCAGAUUGCUUAUCAGAAAC
Molecule: long non-coding RNA, 1859 nt
Organism: Artibeus jamaicensis (Jamaican fruit-eating bat)
Lineage: Eukaryota; Metazoa; Chordata; Mammalia; Chiroptera; Phyllostomidae
Exons: 5
Source: RefSeq, a predicted model, not a curated record